CCUACGGGUGGCUGCAGUGGGGGAUAUUGCACAAUGGGGGAAACCCUGAUGCAGCGACGCCGCGUGUGGGAAGACGGUCCUCUGGAUUGUAAACCACUGUCCCCAGGGACGAAGAUGACGGUACCUGGGGAGGAAGCUCCGGCUAACUACGUGCCAGCAGCCGCGGUAAUACGUAGGGACCGAGCGUUGUCCGGAAUUACUGGGUGUAAAGGGAGCGUAGGCGGGGAUGCAAGUUGGGUGUCAAGACUACCGGCUAAACUGGUAGUCGCACUCAAAACUGCAGCUCUUGAGUGAAGUAGAGGUAGGCGGAAUUCGUAGUGUAGCGGUGAAAUGCGUAGAUAUUAGGAGGAACACCAGUGGCGAAGGCGGCCUGCUGGGCUUUUACUGACGCUGAGGCUCGAAAGUGUGGGGAGCAAACAGGAUUAGAUACCCCUGUAGUC
RNAcentral lists this ribosomal RNA (440 nucleotides) under uncultured bacterium. Its description in RNAcentral is "partial 16S ribosomal RNA". It matches the Rfam family "Bacterial small subunit ribosomal RNA", at positions 338 to 795 of the family's 1533-position model. The record is from RNAcentral.